UGGGACCUUCGGGGCCCUUCACACAAGAGAGAGCCGGGUCCAUACCCGGCGCAAACCAACGGAAGACAGAAA
RNAcentral lists this non-coding RNA (72 nucleotides) under unclassified sequences. Its description in RNAcentral is "L2-Alphaproteobacteria ribosomal protein leader". It matches the Rfam family "L2-Alphaproteobacteria ribosomal protein leader". The record is from RNAcentral.